AUGGAUGGUACACUAAAACCUGGAAAUAGAAAGUAUGUCCUUGUUUUCUCCGACGAUAUCCUUGUUUACAGUAUCACAUUCGAGGAUCACCUGCAACAUGUGCGGAAAGUGCUAUCCCUUUUGUCUGAACGUCAAUGGAAGGUGAAGUUGUCAAAAUGUGCCUUUGCACAACGUCAAGUUGGAUAUCUUGGUCACAUCAUCAGCGGGCCUGGCGUGUCCACUGACCCUAGCAAAAUCUCUGCGAUUGAGACGUGGCCCACCCCAUCCAAUGUGAAGGAAGUACGUGGGUUCUUGGGACUCGCUGGCUACUACCGCAAGUUCAUUCGCAACUAUGGUAUCACUUGCCGUUCCUUGACAGCAUUGCUGAAGAAGGGAGUUGUUUUCCAUUGGUCUGAAACUGAGGAACGAGCGUUUCAAGCACUAAAACAAGUCCUCAUUUCUGCUCCAGUAUUGUCCCUCCCAAACUUCAACACAACGUUUGUCAUUGAGACGGACACGUGUGAUGUGGGGAUUGGUGCAGUUCUCACUCAAGAGGGUCACCCUAUCGCCUAUGUCAGCAAGGCUCUAGGACCUAGAAAUCGUGCACGUCAGUCUACAAGAAAGAAUACUUGGCAAUCUUGUUGGCUGUGGAACAUUGGCGUCAAUACUUGCAAUUAA
RNAcentral lists this ribosomal RNA (657 nucleotides) under Triticum aestivum (bread wheat). Its description in RNAcentral is "partial small subunit ribosomal RNA". Lineage: Eukaryota; Viridiplantae; Streptophyta; Magnoliopsida; Poales; Poaceae. The record is from RNAcentral.